GUGCGAUAAGUAAUGUGAAUUGCAGUAUUCCGUGAAUCAUCGAAUCUUUGAACGCAUAUUGCACUUUCUGGUAUUCCGGAAAGUAUGCCUGUUUGAGGGUCAGUUAAAUAAAAAUCGGUGUUGUUGCCGCUUUUCGUGGUGACGCGUCGGAAUUGAGUUGUCUUACCUUCGGUUAAGUGACUUAAAAUUUUGUAUGAUUUUCGAACGUAUUUAAAUUUAUUUGAACGUUUGAUAUCGAAUGCUUAUUAGGUUCGGUCAUCCUCAUGACUCGCGCCUAUAAUUUUUCAUUAAAUGACCUCAAAUCAGGUAAGAAUACCCGCUGAACUUAA
RNAcentral lists this unclassified non-coding RNA (329 nucleotides) under uncultured Glomeraceae. RNAcentral describes it as "partial contains 5.8S ribosomal RNA, internal transcribed spacer 2, and large subunit ribosomal RNA". The stretch from base 1 to 102 matches the Rfam family "5.8S ribosomal RNA", at positions 53 to 154 of the family's 154-position model. The record is from RNAcentral. Lineage: Eukaryota; Fungi; Glomeromycota; Glomeromycetes; Glomerales; Glomeraceae.